UGCCAGCAGCCGCGGUAAUACGAAGGGUGCUAGCGUUGUUCGGAAUUACUGGGCGUAAAGAGCAUGUAGGCGGAUGAAUUAGUCAGAGGUGAAAGCCCCGAGCUCAACUUGGGAACUGCCUUUGAUACUGUUUAUCUAGAGUCCGGAAGAGGGUAGUGGAAUUCCCAGUGUAGAGGUGAAAUUCGUAGAUAUUGGGAAGAACAUCAGUGGCGAAGGCGGCUACCUGGUCCGGAUCUGACGCUGAGGCGCGAAAGCGUGGGUAGCGAACGGGAUUAGAUA
RNAcentral lists this ribosomal RNA (279 nucleotides) under uncultured bacterium. RNAcentral's name for it is "partial 16S ribosomal RNA". It matches the Rfam family "Bacterial small subunit ribosomal RNA", at positions 506 to 784 of the family's 1533-position model. The record is from RNAcentral.